RNAcentral lists this ribosomal RNA (846 nucleotides) under uncultured Lactobacillus sp. Its description in RNAcentral is "bacterial SSU rRNA". It matches the Rfam family "Bacterial small subunit ribosomal RNA", at positions 665 to 1512 of the family's 1533-position model. Lineage: Bacteria; Bacillati; Bacillota; Bacilli; Lactobacillales; Lactobacillaceae. The record is from RNAcentral.
AACUCCAUGUGUAGCGGUGGAAUGCGUAGAUAUAUGGAAGAACACCAGUGGCGAAGGCGGCUGUCUAGUCUGUAACUGACGCUGAGGCUCGAAAGCAUGGGUAGCGAACAGGAUUAGAUACCCUGGUAGUCCAUGCCGUAAACGAUGAGUGCUAAGUGUUGGAGGGUUUCCCCCUUCAGUGCUGCAGCUAACGCAUUAAGCACUCCGCCUGGGGAGUACGACCGCAAGGUUGAAACUCAAAGGAGUUGACGGGGGCCCGCACAAGCGGUGGAGCAUGUGGUUUAAUUCGAAGCUACGCGAAGAACCUUACCAGGUCUUGACAUCUUCUGCCAAUCUUAGAGAUAAGACGUUCCCUUCGGGGACAGAAUGACAGGUGGUGCAUGGUUGUCGUCAGCUCGUGUCGUGAGAUGUUGGGUUAAGUCCCGCAACGAGCGCAACCCUUAUUAUCAGUUGCCAGCAUUCAGUUGGGCACUCUGGUGAGACUGCCGGUGACAAACCGGAGGAAGGUGGGGAUGACGUCAAAUCAUCAUGCCCCUUAUGACCUGGGCUACACACGUGCUACAAUGGACGGUACAACGAGUCGCGAAGUCGUGAGGCUAAGCUAAUCUCUUAAAGCCGUUCUCAGUUCGGAUUGUAGGCUGCAACUCGCCUACAUGAAGUUGGAAUCGCUAGUAAUCGCGGAUCAGCAUGCCGCGGUGAAUACGUUCCCGGGCCUUGUACACACCGCCCGUCACACCAUGAGAGUUUGUAACACCCAAAGCCGGUGAGAUAACCUUCGGGAGUCAGCCGUCUAAGGUGGGACAGAUGAUUAGGGUGAAGUCGUAACAAGGUAACCAAGGGCGAAUC